UUAAAAAUGAUUUAAAUUUAUUACUUUCGUUGGAAUUAAAUCAUAAAAUCGUAGAUUAUAUAUUUGCGCACGAGGGAUAAAACUCCUAGCAUGGGCCUUCGGCAUUGUUGACGCCAUAUCGAGUGUAUGCAACUUUUAAGUUGACGUUGGAACAGCAAUGUUUGAGAAUUAGUGCAGACGUUGUCGAUUUGACAUAGUAAACUAGUAUAGCAAAACAAACAAACACAAACUUGAAUAUUUUUAUUCAAAAUAUUAAAGCUACAGCAGAAUUUUGGAAAGAGAUCUGAAGUUUUACUUUGAGUUAAAGCUAUGAACUACCCUCCAGGUACAGAGUACUCUGGUGAUGGUGUGCUCUAUGAUAGUUUUGGUGAGACUAGUUCAGAAUUUGGUGGAAAUCUUGAAAGUCCUAAUGAGGUUGCAGUGUCAAGCCUACCUGGUGAUUUGGACAGACAGAAGCGUAGGGAAAGAAAUCGAAGGCAGAACCGUAACAGAAAUCGAGAACGAUUUGAUAGAGACCGGGUAGAUAGGCCACUUAUUUGUAAUGAGUCUGCUGUCCAGGGUUUCUUGGAGGGAAAUUACAGAGAUGAGGAAUAUGGUGAUUACAGUUGUGAAAUUGAACAGGGUUAUCCAGACAGAAGAGAUAGUAGCUACAAUAACUUUGGAGACAGAGGAAACUGUGAUGAUAGAAGAGGGAGGAACAGAGGGCGUCGUGAUCGAGAGCGAAAUAGAGAUAGAGAUAGAAACCGUGGUAGGGACAGAGAUCGUGAAAGAGAUAGAGAUAGAUCCAGGGAUAGAGAGAGAGAUAGGGACUGGCGGGAAGAAAUUCCAAAUAAUACAAUUAUGGUCAGGGGGCUAGCUCCUCAUAUCUCGGAGGCCGAUCUGAGGAAUGAAGUGACAAGAUAUGGACUUGAACCUAAAGACAUCAGGCUCAUGAGGAAGAAAUAUAAAGAUACAGGUGCAUCCCGAGGCUUUGCUUUUGUGGAGUUUCUCUUACUCUCCGAAGCUGUUCGCUGGAAGGAACUUACACAGGGAGUUUUAAUCUUUGGUGGAGACUAUCGUGCUACACUACAUUACAGUAUUCCAAAGGAUGGUAGUGGAAUGAAACGAAACGAUGCUAGCAGAGCUGAUUGGAGUUGCAGCAAAUGUGGACUAAACAACUUCCGUAGAAGAGACGUUUGCUUCAAAUGUAACACUCCCAGAGAAGAAGCGGAAGAAAUCAGAAGACAAAGUGGAGAUGGAUUUGAACAGAUCAGUUCCACUCCAUCAAAUGCAUUAUUACUUCGUAAUCUGGAUACUCUUACGACAGAAGAAAGAGUGCUUUCUGUUUUAGGACAGCUAACUUCUCUGCCAAUCAAAAGUAUAGGAAUUGCAAAUGACCCCUUGACCAAUACCUCCAGAGGAUUUUGUUUUGUGGAGUUACACUCUAUAUCAGAAGCUUCUCAACUUCAUGACCUGCUUUUGUCAUUGGAUGGUCAGUUUUAUAUAGAUGGCAGACCAGUGACAAUAACUUAUGCCAGGAAGUCAGUAAAUGUUAUCCAUAGUGCUGCCAGUGCCAAUGCUGCUAGUGUGGCUUUAGCAGCUGCUCAGUGGACGAAUCAGGUAUGACUAAUGUAAAUAUCUAGAUGUUACUGGAAACAUUCUGAACAAAACCAUUACAUUUGGAGAGAUGUAGUAGUUGUAUGUUAAAGCUUGGGAAGGUCAUCUGAUUAUGGUUGAACCGGGAUCACUGCCUGUAAAUAAGAACGAACAAUAUCAGCAAGGAUACGAUCAGUAUCAGG
Limulus polyphemus (Atlantic horseshoe crab) is the source of this 1778-nucleotide RNA transcript. It is a transcript of the gene named RNA-binding protein 5-B-like, with no coding region annotated. The record is from RefSeq and is a predicted model, not a curated record. NCBI's taxonomy places the organism in Eukaryota, Metazoa, Arthropoda, Merostomata, Xiphosura, Limulidae. The transcript has 13 exons.